Molecule: unclassified non-coding RNA, 171 nt
Filed under: uncultured fungus
Lineage: Eukaryota; Fungi
Description: sequence contains ITS1
Source: RNAcentral
UUGAUUUAUUUGUUUUUUUACUCAGAAGUUCCACUAAAAACAGAGUUUAGGGUCCUGCGGCGGGCCGUCCCGAAGGACGGGCUGAUCCGCCGAGGCAACAUAUGGUAUGUUCACAGGGGUUUGGGAGUUGUAAACUCGGUAAUGAUCCCUCCGCUGGUUCACCAACGGAGA